GUGGGGAAUCUUCCGCAAUGGACGAAAGUCUGACGGAGCAACGCCGCGUGAGUGAUGAAGGUCUUCGGAUUGUAAAGCUCUGUUAAUCGGGACGAAAGAGCCUAGUGUGAAUAAUGCUAGGAAGUGACGGUACCGGAAUAGAAAGCCACGGCUAACUACGUGCCAGCAGCCGCGGUAAUACGUAGGUGACAAGCGUUGUCCGGAAUUAUUGGGCGUAAAGCGCGCGCAGGCGGAUCUGCCAGUCUGUCUUAAAAGUUCGGGGCUUAACCCCGUGAUGGGAUGGAAACUACAGAUCUAGAGUAUCGGAGAGGAAAGUGGAAUUCCUAGUGUAGCGGUGAAAUGCGUAGAUAUUAGGAAGAACACCAGUGGCGAAGGCGACUUUCUGGACGAAAACUGACGCUGAGGCGCGAAAGCCAGGGGAGCGAACGGGAUUAGAAACCCUGGUAGUCC
This 450-nucleotide ribosomal RNA is filed under the name uncultured bacterium. RNAcentral describes it as "partial 16S ribosomal RNA". It matches the Rfam family "Bacterial small subunit ribosomal RNA", at positions 354 to 796 of the family's 1533-position model. The record is from RNAcentral.